UGAUCGGAUUUUUCUGGUCGGCGUAAGCUAACGCGUUAAGUGUCCCGCUUGGGAAGUACGGCCGCAAGGCUAAAACUCAAAGGAAUUGACGGGGGAGCGCACAACCGGUGGAGCAUGUGGUUUAAUUCGAUACAAAGCGAAAUACCUCACCCAGGUUUAAUAUAUCUGCAAAUCCAGCGAAAGCUGGACUUCUUCGAGAGUGAUAUACAGCUGUUGCAUGGCUGUCGUCAGUUCGUGUCGUGAGACGUUUCUUUAAGUAGAAUAACGAACGCAACCCCUAUCGUGUGUUGAAUUUUCACGCGAGACUGCUCUUGAUAGUAUCAAGGGAGGAAGGAGGGGACGAUGUCAAGUCAGCAUGACGGCUACACCCUGGGGCCACACACAUCCUACAAUGGGAAGUACAAUGGGUUGCCAACCAGUAAUGGGGAGCCAAUCCUGUAAAACUUCCCUCAGUUCAGAUUGAGGGC
Molecule: ribosomal RNA, 467 nt
Filed under: uncultured bacterium
Lineage: Bacteria
Description: bacterial SSU rRNA
Rfam family: Bacterial small subunit ribosomal RNA
Source: RNAcentral